This 373-nucleotide ribosomal RNA is filed under the name uncultured organism. RNAcentral's name for it is "bacterial SSU rRNA". It matches the Rfam family "Bacterial small subunit ribosomal RNA", at positions 526 to 896 of the family's 1533-position model. The record is from RNAcentral.
CGUAGGGUGCGAGCGUUGUCCGGAAUUAUUGGGCGUAAAGGGCUCGUAGGCGGUUUGUCGCGUCGGGAGUGAAAACACCGGGCUUAACUCGGUGCUUGCUUUCGGUACGGGCAGACUUGAGGCAUGCAGGGGAGAACGGAAUUCCUGGUGUAGCGGUGAAAUGCGCAGAUAUCAGGAGGAACACCGGUGGCGAAGGCGGUUCUCUGGGCAUGUUCUGACGCUGAGGAGCGAAAGUGUGGGGAGCGAACAGGAUUAGAUACCCUGGUAGUCCACACCGUAAACGUUGGGCGCUAGGUGUGGGGCCUAUUCCAUGGGUUCCGUGCCGCAGCUAACGCAUUAAGCGCCCCGCCUGGGGAGUACGGCCGCAAGGCUA